Molecule: ribosomal RNA, 253 nt
Filed under: uncultured bacterium
Lineage: Bacteria
Description: partial 16S ribosomal RNA
Rfam family: Bacterial small subunit ribosomal RNA
Source: RNAcentral
UACGUAGGGACCAAGCGUUGUUCGGAUUUACUGGGCGUAAAGGGCGCGUAGGCGGCGUGACAAGUCACUUGUGAAAUCUCUGAGCUUAACUCAGAACGGCCAAGUGAAACUGUUGUGCUAGAGUGCAGAAGGGGCAAUCGGAAUUCUUGGUGUAGCGGUGAAAUGCGUAGAUAUCUGGAGGAAUACCGGUGGCGAAGGCGGCAUCCUGGACCGGCAUUGACGCUGAGGAGCGAAAGCCAGGGGAGCAAACGGG